This 274-nucleotide ribosomal RNA is filed under the name uncultured bacterium. RNAcentral describes it as "partial 16S ribosomal RNA". It matches the Rfam family "Bacterial small subunit ribosomal RNA", at positions 523 to 796 of the family's 1533-position model. The record is from RNAcentral.
AUACGGGGGGUGCAAGCGUUAAUCGGAAUUACUGGGCGUAAAGCGCGCGUAGGCGGUUUGCUCAGUCGGAUGUGAAAGCCCAGGGCUCAACCUUGGAACUGCAUACGAUACUGGCAAACUAGAGUGUGAGAGAGGAUAGUGGAAUUUCCGGUGUAGCGGUGAAAUGCGUAGAUAUCGGAAGGAACAUCAGUGGCGAAGGCGACUGUCUGGCUCAACACCGACGCUGAGGUGCGAAAGCGUGGGUAGCAAACAGGAUUAGAUACCCUAGUAGUCC